CCUACGGGAGGCAGCAGUGAGGAAUAUUGGUCAAUGGGCGGAAGCCUGAACCAGCCAAGUAGCGUGCAGGAUGACGGCUCUACGGGUUGUAAACUGCUUGUAUACGGGAAUAACGCGCCUUACGUGUAGGGCUUUGCAUGUACCGUAUGAAUAAGGAUCGGCUAAUUCCGUGCCAGCAGCCGCGGUAAUAAGGAAGGUCCGGGCGUUAUCCGGAUUUAUUGGGUUUAAAGGGGGCGUAGGCAGCAUGUUAAGCGUGCUGUGAAAUGUUGGGGCUCAACCCGGGCCUUGCAGCGCGAACUGGCGUGCUUGAGUCCGCGGAAAGCAGGCGGAAUUCGUCGUGUAGCGGUGAAAUGCUUAGAUAUGACGCAGAACCCCGAUUGCGAAGGCAGCUUGCU
RNAcentral lists this ribosomal RNA (395 nucleotides) under uncultured bacterium. Its description in RNAcentral is "partial 16S ribosomal RNA". It matches the Rfam family "Bacterial small subunit ribosomal RNA", at positions 338 to 730 of the family's 1533-position model. The record is from RNAcentral.